UACGAAGGGGGCUAGCGUUGCUCGGAUUUACUGGGCGUAAAGGGCGCGUAGGCGGACAGUUAAGUUGGGGGUGAAAGCCCGGGGCUCAACCUCGGAAUUGCCUUCAAUACUGGCUGUCUUGAGUGUGAGAGAGGUGUGUGGAACUCCGAGUGUAGAGGUGAAAUUCGUAGAUAUUCGGAAGAACACCAGUGGCGAAGGCGACACACUGGCUCACUACUGACGCUGAGGCACGAAAGCGUGGGGAGCAAACAGG
RNAcentral lists this ribosomal RNA (253 nucleotides) under uncultured bacterium. RNAcentral's name for it is "partial 16S ribosomal RNA". It matches the Rfam family "Bacterial small subunit ribosomal RNA", at positions 524 to 776 of the family's 1533-position model. The record is from RNAcentral.